Molecule: ribosomal RNA, 443 nt
Filed under: bacterium
Lineage: Bacteria
Also listed under: 1 other name
Description: partial 16S ribosomal RNA
Rfam family: Bacterial small subunit ribosomal RNA
Source: RNAcentral
GUUAUAGAGAGUUUGAUUCUGGCUCAGAACAAACGCUGGCGGCGUGCCUAACACAUGCAAGUCGUACGUGAAAGUCCCGCAAGGGAUGAGUAAAGUGGCGAACGGGUGAGUAAUACAUAGGUAAUCUACUUAUAAGUUCGGGAUAACAGUUCGAAAGGACUGCUAAUACCGGAUAACGUACCGUGUCACAAGAUGCGGUACCAAAGGUGGCCUCUUCACAAUGCUAUCGAUUAUAAAUGAGCCUAUGGACCAUUAGUUAGUUGGCAGGGUAAUGGCCUACCAAGACAAAGAUGGUUAGCUGGUCUGAGAGGAUGAUCAGCCACACUGGAACUGAAACACGGUCCAGACUCCUACGGGAGGCAGCAGUGGGGAAUAUUGCGCAAUGGGGGAAACCCUGACGCAGCAACGCCGUGUGAGCGAUGAAGGCCUUCGGGUUGUAAAGC